AGAGUUUGAUCCUGGCUCAGAUUGAACGCUGGCGGCAUGCCUUACACAUGCAAGUCGAACGGUAACAGGUCUUCGGAUGCUGACGAGUGGCGAACGGGUGAGUAAUGCAUCGGAACGUGCCCAGUAGUGGGGGAUAGCCCGGCGAAAGCCGGAUUAAUACCGCAUACGACCUGAGGGUGAAAGGGGGGGAUCGCAAGACCUCUCGCUAUUGGAGCGGCCGAUGUCAGAUUAGCUAGUUGGUGGGGUAAAGGCCCACCAAGGCAACGAUCUGUAGUUGGUCUGAGAGGACGACCAGCCACACUGGGACUGAGACACGGCCCAGACUCCUACGGGAGGCAGCAGUGGGGAAUUUUGGACAAUGGGCGCAAGCCUGAUCCAGCAAUGCCGCGUGCAGGAAGAAGGCCUUCGGGUUGUAAACUGCUUUUGUCAGGGAAGAAAUCUUCUGGGCUAAUACCCUGGGAGGAUGACGGUACCUGAAGAAUAAGCACCGGCUAACUACGUGCCAGCAGCCGCGGUAAUACGUAGGGUGCGAGCGUUAAUCGGAAUUACUGGGCGUAAAGCGUGCGCAGGCGGCUUUGCAAGACAGAGGUGAAAUCCCCGGGCUCAACCUGGGAACUGCCUUUGUGACUGCAAGGCUAGAGUACGGCAGAGGGGGAUGGAAUUCCGCGUGUAGCAGUGAAAUGCGUAGAUAUGCGGAGGAACACCGAUGGCGAAGGCAAUCCCCU
Molecule: ribosomal RNA, 725 nt
Filed under: uncultured beta proteobacterium
Lineage: Bacteria; Pseudomonadati; Pseudomonadota; Betaproteobacteria
Description: bacterial SSU rRNA
Rfam family: Bacterial small subunit ribosomal RNA
Source: RNAcentral